This 1098-nucleotide long non-coding RNA is filed under the name Oryctolagus cuniculus (rabbit). Its description in RNAcentral is "lncRNA (ENSOCUG00000033193.1)". Lineage: Eukaryota; Metazoa; Chordata; Mammalia; Lagomorpha; Leporidae. The record is from RNAcentral.
CAGGAAGCUGGACCGGAAGUGGAGCAUCCGGGACCCGAACCAGCGCCCAUAAGGGAUGCCGGCACUGGAGGCGGCGGCGGCGGCUUCACCCGCCAAGCCACAGCCCCGGCCCCCAGACUGGCGGAUUCUAACCCCACAAAGGCGCCGCAACGGAUCCACCGCGGCGGGACUACACCGUUUCCUGCCAGGUCAGGGCAGUUGGCCCUUAGCGUGUCCCCCGGCUACGACCUAGCAAGGACCCAGCAGGACCCCAGCAAAGUCCUCGCUGGCGCUGGGCCCCCGUGGGCCUGGGCCGUGGAGUCGGAGUUCAGGCGCACGAUUCCAGCCAAGACUCUUUCCCGCGUACGUGGGCGGGAGGGGUGGAAGCUGGCUGGCUGCCCACGCCGAGUUUUCGGAGAGCCACGCCCUCCCAAUCUCUCAAAUUUCCCGGGCGCCACGCCCCCUCGGCUCCCGGCGCGCCCGCUCCGAGCCGUCGCGCCGGAAGUGACCUCACGACGGCGGCGUGGAGACGCGAGGGCGCUUCCGGCGGCAGCGGCGGCCGUGGGGGUGGGUGUGGAGAAGCCCCCGCGGCGAGUCCUUUCCGAGCUGAGUUGCCCGCUUGGCGUGCUGCGCGGAGGAGGCCGAGCCCGGACGGCGCGGAGGUGGGAGCGAGGGGCGGCGGCUGCCGUGUGGGUGCUCGUGGGACGGCGCUUCCGGGGCUGCGCGCCGUGGAGACCUUGCGUGCGGUGGCGCGAGCCGGGGGCGGCCCCGGGUUUGGGUGGGCUGGGAGGCGUGAGGCGUGAGCGGCCUGGGCUCGCUCCGCGCCUCGGUGUGUCCUCUGGCUCGGGGGGAGGCGGGGAGCAGCGCGAGCGUGCUCGUGACCGUCGACCCGCGGUGACCUCGCGGGUGGAAGUGUGUGGGUGCGUGGGAGGCGUGGCGCUCGCCGGCCUGGCCUGUGGGUCCGCCCCGGGUUCCGCGGCGCCGAGCCCUCGCGCGGCCGCAGGUGAGGAACGCCCCGGCCGCAGGGAGUCUGCUGUUUGCCAAAGCCGGUGUUCAUCCCCCCGGGACAGCGGCGCCUUUCGCCUGGGAACUUCGUGUGUGUUUUUUUUUUUCAAUUGA